ACGGCUGAUCUGGUUCCGGAUCGCAUCUUCGUCAGUCAUCGUCUGUUUCUCUAGCAGAUCGAGAGGGAGGAAGGCGUGAUGAAUCUCGACGGCGAGGACCGCCACCUGCGUGGCGUUGUGAGGUGCAAUCGAGUCGGGCAAUGACGCUCUGUGA
Molecule: unclassified non-coding RNA, 154 nt
Filed under: Basidiomycota sp.
Lineage: Eukaryota; Fungi; Basidiomycota
Description: partial internal transcribed spacer 1
Source: RNAcentral